RNAcentral lists this ribosomal RNA (476 nucleotides) under uncultured bacterium. Its description in RNAcentral is "partial 16S ribosomal RNA". It matches the Rfam family "Bacterial small subunit ribosomal RNA", at positions 30 to 507 of the family's 1533-position model. The record is from RNAcentral.
AUUGAACGCUGGCGGCAUGCCUUACACAUGCAAGUCGAACGGUAACAGGUUAAGCUGACGAGUGGCGACCGGGUGAGUAAUGUAUCGGAACGUGCCCAGUCGUGGGGGAUAACUGCUCGAAAGAGCAGCUAAUACCGCAUACGACCUGAGGGUGAAAGCGGGGGAUCGCAAGACCUCGCGCGAUUGGAGCGGCCGAUAUCAGAUUAGGUAGUUGGUGAGGUAAAGGCUCACCAAGCCGACGAUCUGUAGCUGGUCUGAGAGGACGACCAGCCACACUGGGACUGAGACACGGCCCAGACUCCUACGGGAGGCAGCAGUGGGAAUUUUGGACAAUGGGCGCAAGCCUGAUCCAGCCAUGCCGCGUGCGGGAAGAAGGCCUUCGGGUUGUAAACCGCUUUUGUCAGGGAAGAAAAGGUUCUGGCUAAUACCUGGGACUCAUGACGGUACCUGAAGAAUAAGCACCGGCUAACUACGUG